CGCGUAAGAAUGUACCCCAAAGUGAGGGAUAACUCAUCGAAAGAUGGGCUAAUACCGCAUACGAUCUACGGAUCAAAGCUUCGGCGCUUUGGGAGCAGCUUGCGUUGGAUUAGCUAGUUGGUAGAGUAAAAGCCUACCAAGGCGACGAUCCAUAGCUGGUCUGAGAGGAUGAUCAGCCUGACUGGAACUGAGACACGGUCCAGACUCCUACGGGAGGCAGCAGUAGGGAAUUUUCCACAAUGGGGGCAACCCUGAUGGAGCAACACCGCGUGCAGGAUGAAGGCCUUCGGGUCGUAAACUGCUUUUUUCUGUGAAGAUUAUGACUGUAACAGAAGAAUAAGGGAUGGCUAACUCCGUGCCAGCAGCCGCGGUCAUACGGAGGUCCCAAGCGUUAUCCGGAUUUACUGGGCGUAAAGAGUUGCGUAGGUGGUUUAUUAAGCGAGGCAUUAAAGCGUGUGGCUCAACCAUAUCGUUAUGUUUCGAACUGAUAGACUAGAGAACAAUAGAGGUAAUUGGAAUUCCAAGUGUAGGAGUGAAAUCCGUAGAUAUUUGGAGGAACACCAAUGGCGUAGGCAGAUUACUGGAUUGUUUCUGACACUGAGGCACGAAAGCAUGGGUAGCAAACGGGAUUAGAUACCCCGGUAGUCCAUGCUGUAAACGAUGGGUGCUAGUUGUUGGCCGUAUCGACCCGGUCAGUAACGAAGCUAACGCGUUAAGCACCCCGCCUGUGGAGUACGAGCGCAAGCUUAAAACAUAAAGGAAUUGACGGGGACCCGCACAAGCGGUGGAGCGUGUCGUUUAAUUCGAUGGUAAGCGAAGAACCUUACCAGGGUUUGACAUCCUUGGAAUUUUGCCGAAAGGCGAAAGUGCUUUAUUGAGCCAAGUGACAGGUGUUGCAUGGCCGUCGUCAGCUCGUGUCGUGAGAUGUUGGGUUAAGUCCCGCAACGAGCGCAACCCUUAUGUUCAGUUGAAUUUUUCUGAACAGACCGCCUCGGUAACGGGGAGGAAGGAGGGGAUGAUGUCAGGUCAGUAUUACCCUUACACCCUGGGCUACAAACACGCUACAAUGGCCGGUACAAAGGGCAGCCAACCCGCGAGGGGGAGCAAAUCCUAUCAAAGCCGGUCUCAGUUCGGAUUGCAGGCUGAAACUCGCCUGCAUGAAGCUGGAAUCGCUAGUAACCGUAAGUCAGCACAUUACGGUGAAUACGUUCCCGGGUCUUGUACACACCGCCCGUCAAGUCAUGAGAGUCACCAAUACCCGAAGUCCAAUUUUGGCCUAAGGUAGGGGGGAUGAUUGGGACUAAGUCGUAACAAGGUA
Molecule: ribosomal RNA, 1318 nt
Filed under: metagenome
Description: bacterial SSU rRNA
Rfam family: Bacterial small subunit ribosomal RNA
Source: RNAcentral